RNAcentral lists this transfer RNA (86 nucleotides) under Bacteroidaceae bacterium. RNAcentral describes it as "tRNA-Leu". It matches the Rfam family "tRNA". Rfam says of the family: Transfer RNA (tRNA) molecules are approximately 80 nucleotides in length. Their secondary structure includes four short double-helical elements and three loops (D, anti-codon, and T loops). The record is from RNAcentral. Lineage: Bacteria; Pseudomonadati; Bacteroidota; Bacteroidia; Bacteroidales; Bacteroidaceae.
GCUUUGGUGGUGGAAUAGGUAGACACGCGGGACUUAAAAUCCCGUGGGCAGCAAUGCCCGUACGGGUUCGAUUCCCGUCCGAAGCA